Molecule: ribosomal RNA, 2897 nt
Filed under: Madurella mycetomatis
Lineage: Eukaryota; Fungi; Ascomycota; Sordariomycetes; Sordariales
Description: LSU rRNA
Rfam family: Bacterial large subunit ribosomal RNA
Source: RNAcentral
AUAUGAACUCUUAGAGAAAUUAUUUAAUAAACGAAGUGAAUUGAAAUAUCUUAGUAACUUCAGGAAAAGAAAUCAAACGAGAUUCUAUUAUUAGUGUGAACUAAAAUAGAGUAGCCUAUUUAAAUAAGUAAAAUGGCUUUAAAGCUGUUUGAAUUUUAUGGGGAACCUUCCUCAAAGGCUAAAUAUAAUACAUAAGCGACAGAGAAUAGUACCGUGAGGGAAAAUUUUUUUGAAAUAGUAGUUUUAUAAGCAGCUCAAGCUUAAAAAAAUGCGAGAGCGUACCUUUUGCAUAAUGGGUCACCAAGUUAACAUUAGAUGCGAAUAUAUGCAUAGUUAAACCGAUCAUUAAAAUAAUGAAUAGUGUCUAAAGUUAGACCCGAAGCCUGGUGAUCUUACUAUAGUCAGGACUAUAAGGGUCCGAACGGGUUAUCGUUGCAAAGAUAUCCGAAGAACUAUGGUAAGCAAAGUGAAAGACAAAACUGACCAGGAUAGCUGGUUUUCUGCGAAACCUAUAAUAGUAGGCAGUUUAAGUAACAUCUUAGUAGGUACAGAACUUAAUCUCAUACAAAAUGUAUAUUUUUCAUAUAAAUUUAUAUGAAAUACAUUUUUUGUAAAUAUCGGGGGAUCGUGAAGAUUUUAUCGGUGAGUAUGUAGACUCGGAAUGACAAAGAUGGAUCUUGAAUUAUCGGACAUAGAAUGAUAAGGUUGUAUGUCAAAAGGGAAACAGCCCAGAACAAAUAGUUAAGGUUCCAAAAUUAUUAUUGAGUGAAAUUAAGAAAGCUUUUAUAUAAGUCGACAAGGAGAUAGGCCUGGAAUCAGCCAUAAUUUAAAGAUCUCGUAACAGAGCACUUGUUAAAUCUUAAAAGUAUCGAAAAUUUAUCGGAUCUAAAUAAUAUACCGAAACUUUGUCCAUAUAUAACAUUAAAAAGAAAAUACAAUUACUAUGGUAAUACAUAGAUGAUUAAAACAAUAAUAAUAUUAAUGUUAUUUGGUGGGGUAGCAGAACGUUGAGUUAAUAUUUGACUUUUAUUUUUUAAAUAAAAUUAUAGGAUAACUCAAGUGAUAAUGGUGACAUGAGUAACAAAAAAGAAGGGCAUUAGCCCUCUCGCCUAAAGCUUAUGGAAAUUUAGAAAAGUAACGGCCUCUAAGUUUAUAAUCUGAAGAUUAUGACGAUGAGAAAAUCUUAUUACUUUUGAGGACAACAUUUUUUAAAGUGAAAAAUGUGCUGGAAAAAAUAAGUAAUUAAAAACCGUUCCUAGGAACUGACACAAGUAAGCUAGUAGAGAAUACGAAGGCGCAAAUGAGCUAACAAUCAUAAAGGAACUCGGCAAACUAACUACUCGUAACUUAGGAAUAAGGAGGGCUCCUAAUCUCGAUUAAUAGAGUAAACAGGAAGAAGCAUAAAAUAUUGUUGUACGACUGUUUAAUUAAAACAAAGCACUUUGCAAAAGAUGAUAAAUCUAAGUAUUGAGUGUGAUCUCUGCCCGAUGCCGGCUGGUUAACGAAUUUAUUAAAUAAAAAGUUUGAUUUUAGAGGAACCCCCGGUUAAUGGCGGCCUUAGCGUGAGGGUCCUAAGGUAGCGAAAUGCCUUGGCCGUUAAAUGCGGUCUUGCAUGAAUGACGUAACGAUACAACAGCUGUCUCUAUGAUUGACUCAGUGAAAUUGGAAUAGCUGUGCAGAUACAGUUUACCUCUAGUUAGACGAGAAGACCCUAUGCAGCUUUACUAUUACUAAUUAUCGAAUAUGAUCCCGGCUAUUUUUAGUGUAUAAGGUAAUCGAUAAGAUACAAUUGAAACACCUUUAUUAUUCUGUCAUAUUGCUAAACCUUGUAAUGAGGGACAAUUGUUAGGAGAUAGUUUAUGCGGGGCACAGACCCCACAAAGAGUAGAUGGGUGUGUCUAAACAUUAUAAAUUUAUGUUUGCAAUUUUUCUAUAGUAAUCCUAUAUUUAAUCAUUUACACGCUGUUCAAUUAUAUAUGUAAUACAUAUAAUCUAUAUAUGUAUUAUAGUCUUUGGAUAAAGUAUAAAAGUUAUUAUGCAUUAAUUUGUAUAAUAAUUUCUAUGUAAAGUCGUUGUGAGGGGUAAGAUUUUGUUUAUGGAGAAAUUAGAUGUAAUAUAAAAAAUAUUUUGAGUCUUCUAAUAUUUUAUAGUUAUUAUUAUUUUAAUAAUAAAAAUGUUUAUUACUUAAAAAGCUUAAUGGCUUAAUCUUGCCUUACUGUUUGAUUAACAACAAAUCUUACAGUCGCGUAAGCGGGGCAUAGGAUCACAAGAUACAAAAAGGAAAGAUCUUGGAUUUUUGGAAAAGCUACGCUAGGGAUGAACAGGCUAAUUUGCGCAAGAGUGCACAAAACGAGUGCGCGGUUUGGCACCUCGAUGUCGGCUUAACUUAUCCUCAUGGAUGCAGAAACUAUGUAGGGUACGACUGUUCGUCGAUUAAAAAGUUACAUGAGCUGGGUUAAAUACGUCGUGAGACAGUAUGGUUUCUAUCUUCUAGAGGGAAUUAGAAUAUAACAAGGAUUAACCUUGUACGAGAGGAACAUGGGGUACUGUUGGGAUACCGAGAGGUAUAACAAUUUUAUUAACCUCUGGUUUACCUGUUGUUUAUAUGCCUGAUAUUAAUUAUUAAUACAUAGAAAUAUGUAUUAAUAUAUAGGAUAUAUAUAUAAUAUAUAUAUAUCCGCGGAUGUUAACGUCACUUUACUAAAUAAAUAAUAUAAGCAUGGCAGGAAAGCUAAGUUAGUCCAAGAUAAGUGCUGAAAGCAUGUAGGCACGAAGCUAACCUUGGGAUAUUUCUUAAAUAUACGUAAAAUAAUAUUACAUUAAUAGGCUUAAUUUGUAAGAAUUUAGAAAUUGUCAGAUAUUAAGUACUAAUUUUAUAAUAAACUAUAUAAUUAAUA